This 253-nucleotide ribosomal RNA is filed under the name uncultured bacterium. Its description in RNAcentral is "partial 16S ribosomal RNA". It matches the Rfam family "Bacterial small subunit ribosomal RNA", at positions 524 to 776 of the family's 1533-position model. The record is from RNAcentral.
UACGUAGGGGGCUAGCGUUGUCCGGAAUCAUUGGGCGUAAAGAGCGUGUAGGCGGCUCGGUAAGUCCGCUCUGAAAGCCCGGGGCUCAACCCCGGGAGGCGGGCGGAUACUGUCGAGCUAGAGUCCGGAAGAGGCGAGUGGAAUUCCUGGUGUAGCGGUGAAAUGCGCAGAUAUCAGGAGGAACACCAAUGGCGAAGGCAGCACUCUGGGACGUGACUGACGCUGAGACGCGAAAGCGUGGGGAGCAAACAGG